Molecule: unclassified non-coding RNA, 333 nt
Filed under: Hevea brasiliensis (rubber tree)
Lineage: Eukaryota; Viridiplantae; Streptophyta; Magnoliopsida; Malpighiales; Euphorbiaceae
Source: RNAcentral
AUUUACUUCCCUUUCAUAGAUUUAGGUCUCAUCAUUCAUAAAUUCAGUGCAUCUCCCAAAUUUCCAUGGCAACCACCUCUCACUGGCUCAACUCAAUUCGCCAAAUAACCAUGCUGAAACAGUUCAUAAAGCAAUGGAAGCGCGCAGCCCUCCUCUCUCCCUCACAAUACUCGUCUAAUUCCGGUUCAAGCCGUCACAUUCCCUCCGGUUUCCUGGCGGUCUACGUUGGACAAAACCGCAUGAGAUUCUUGAUCCCAGUCCGAUUUCUGCACCUUCCAAUCUUUAUAGCCCUUCUUGAAAAAGCAGAAGAAGAAUAUGGUUUCAAGUUCAGCG